This 582-nucleotide small RNA is filed under the name Pongo abelii (Sumatran orangutan). RNAcentral's name for it is "processed transcript". The record is from RNAcentral. Lineage: Eukaryota; Metazoa; Chordata; Mammalia; Primates; Hominidae.
CUUGAGAAAGCACUAGUGGCUUGUGUUCAGGGAGAGGAGCUUUCAGUUUUUAACCACUUCUGAGGGAGCCGUGUUCUAACCUGUGGAAAGUAUUGCAAUUCUGUGAGAGUGACUCUCGGCAGUCACUGCACCAUCAGGAGCUGAGAAUGCCAGUACGAGAGUGUAGCCAAAGUGAGAGGCUGAGAGCGAAGGAGACAUUUUUUUCAGUUUUGAGUCGAGUAUCCAGACAGAGGCAAAUCAUUUUGUUUAACUUUUUAUUAAAGUGUGACUAUAGAAACACAUCAAUGAUUUUUCACAAAUGGAGUACGUGCAUACAAUCGGCACCCCCAGAAGCCCCCCGUCAGAUUCCCUUCCAGUUAACUACCUCUCCAAGGGAAACCACUAUCCUGAGUUCUAAGCACAUAGAUUAGUUCUGUCUGGUUUGGGGAGAUAUAUAAAUGGAAUUAUGCAUUCUUCGUAUCUGGUUUCUUUUCACCAAUAUUAUGUUUGUGAGAUUUUUGUUGCAUGUAUUUGUACAUGGUUUUUCAUUCUCAUGGUUGUAUAAUAUUCCACUGUGUAAAUAAACCACAUACUAUUUAUCUG